Molecule: long non-coding RNA, 258 nt
Filed under: Olea europaea (common olive)
Lineage: Eukaryota; Viridiplantae; Streptophyta; Magnoliopsida; Lamiales; Oleaceae
Description: long non-coding RNA (OEUR_LNC015666)
Source: RNAcentral
UCUAAUUCUACUUUAAACUAAUUAUCUAAUUGUAAACCACAACAAAUAAUCACUAAACAAACAGUAGAGAGAGAGAAAAGUAACAUCUAAUUUUGGGAUGAUGGACUUGUUUUUUGGGAAAGAGACUGAAUCUGUUCAUCAAGCUUUCUCAAACCUUCACGGGCCUUAUUUGGAUCAACUUUAAACUCCAGGUCUUUCCCUACAGCAUUGACAAAAUUAAAGUAGCCUAUUCGUAUGCUUUUCUUUACUUUAUCACUC